Molecule: ribosomal RNA, 207 nt
Filed under: uncultured bacterium
Lineage: Bacteria
Description: partial 16S ribosomal RNA
Rfam family: Bacterial small subunit ribosomal RNA
Source: RNAcentral
CACGUAGGCGGACUAUUAAGUCAGAGGUGAAAUCCCAGGGCUCAACCCUGGAACUGCCUUUGAUACUGGUAGUCUUGAGUUCGAGAGAGGUGAGUGGAAUUCCGAGUGUAGAGGUGAAAUUCGUAGAUAUUCGGAGGAACACCAGUGGCGAAGGCGGCUCACUGGCUCGAUACUGACGCUGAGGUGCGAAAGUGUGGGGAGCAAACA